Molecule: long non-coding RNA, 3964 nt
Filed under: Capsicum annuum
Lineage: Eukaryota; Viridiplantae; Streptophyta; Magnoliopsida; Solanales; Solanaceae
Description: long non-coding RNA (CANN_LNC011759)
Source: RNAcentral
CCGUACCAUUUUCUUCCCUUCAUUUGCUUCCACCUCAUACUGCUACAUACGCUUAAUUUUAUCUCAUCCAAGAGAGAGACACGCAAAGAACAAUUGAAGACUUAACAGGGUGGUCUCAUUAGCACAUCAAACUAUGGUCUUUUGAUAGGUAUUUGUAAUGCGAAAUGGAGAAAUUGUAUGAAUUUGUGAAAAUGAUGACUAUGGAAGUAAUUCAGAAGAGAAGCAGCAGAAUGAAGAAAAAAGAAAAACAGCAGCAGAUGAAAUACGGGCAAACUGUAGUAAAAAGUAGAAAAUUUUGAAAAAAUUUAAUAUGGAUGAGAGACUGGUAAAACAAAAAUUGAGUGCAGCACCAUUAAUUUUUUUGACACGUGAUAUGUGGAUCCAUUAUCUAUUUAAAAGAUAGAAUAAACGGAAAAGGGCCAAAAAUACCUUUUAAUUAUAAGAAAUGGUUCAACAAUAUACUUCAUUCAUUUAUUGGGCUAAAAAUAUUCUUCCAUCUACCUUUUUGGCAACCAACAAUUCCUUCUUUAUUUUAUUUUUUUAAAAAAAAUUAUUAAGUGUCAUUUUCUUAUUGGGUGAAAUGAAAAUCGCACUCCACCAAGUUGAUGACAUGGCAAACAAAAAACAACUAAAAACUACAUGUCAGCAAAUAAAAUAAAAUCUUAAUUAAGAAUUAUAGGGUACGUGGAUUAAAGAAAGGAAAAAAAAUCAGAAAUAGAGAGUGCGCCAUAAAAUUUACUAUCAAUUUCAAAUUUAAAUUUUGUUUAUGUUGGAGUUUUUAGAGGUGGCAUUUGAUUAUGUUGGACUGAAUUGGUCGGAUUAUGUGGUGAUCGAUAUGAGGUUUUUUAGGCCUGCAGAAGUGGAUAAUUUGAAGAGAGAUUCNNNNNNNNNNNNNNNNNNNNNNNNNNNNNNNCGCGCUCCCACCCCCUAACCCUCUACCCUAAUCCGUGUCCUCCACAACUUUCUAUUAAGGGUCAUGUCCUCCGUAAGCUGUAAGUGCUCCAUAUCAUGCCUAAUCACCUCGCUAUAAUAUUUCUUAGGCCUACCCCUACCCCGCCUAAAACCCAGUGUUUCACACCUCCGCACUGGAGCAUCAGAGCCCCUCCUCAUCACGUGCUUGAACUAAUGUAAUGCCAUCUCAAUGCUAAAUAUUGUCCUAGAUCCAAUGCCAUCUCAAAAAUUAAGAAUCCUAAAGAUUCUGCCAACGGGAGAGAUUUGUUGGAUAUUAGAAAGGUGUUUCAACAUAAUAUUUACUGAAAGCUUGCACUUUUCGGGUGGAAUCAAUGGUUGAGCAUUGGUCCUUUGCACUCAUUGCUUGUUCAAACUCGCAAACCUAGCAACAUUUUGGCCAAGUAGUUUUUCCAGCCCAACAUCUGGAAUGAGGAAGCUCUUGAAACAAUCAUACCUAGACAGAUAGUUGAUGAGAUCAUUGCCGCCAAGAAUGAAGAAGAUCGCAGGGACGUGCCUAUGUGGAAGCUUGAAUACAGCAGAAACUUCUAAUGUGCAUCAACAUUUCAAGCUCUUGGACAAAAGAGACCUUCUCUUCCUCAACUAGAUCUUGUUUGGAAUAAAAUAAUUCCUUUUAAAAUUUCUUUUCUAAUGUGGAGACUUCUCAAGAAGAAGCUCCCACUUGGAAACUCUUUAAGAAAAUUUGGUAUCACCUCUAAUAUGGAUUGUGUUUGUUGCAGGGCUUCCAUCCAAGAAUCUUAUAACCACUUUUUUGCAGCUGGAGAAAUGGCAAGAAGAACCUGGGAAUGGGUCUCAAGACCACUUGGAAGUUGGGAUUGACUCAAGCAAUCACAAUAUCAUCCAAAUUCUAGACAACUGGGGGAUAGCUAAUACAGCAAUGCAGUUCACAACUUGAUAACCACCAUUACGCCAAAUAUGGUGUGUUGGGUAUUGUGGAAAUCAAGGUGCUCAAAGAAAUUUAGUAACACCAUUUCUGGGGCAUGGAUUUACAAUCAGAUUUUGUUUCAAACCAAAAUCGCCAUUGCUAAAAUAUUUGGUAAAAUGGAGGAUCAAUGGGGAUGGAAAAGAGUAUGCAACAUCGCCAUGUUACAAGCCAACUGACCAGCUGUGUGGUCAAAUAUGGUCAAAUGGAAUAGACAUGGUGAGGAUCUGAUUUUAAACACUGAUGGAAGCUACAAGAUUAACUUAGGGAGAGAUGGAGCGAGGAAUUGUUAGGGGAGGGAAGAAAUGGGAAUAUAGUAAUGGGAUUUUCUAAUCUAAUCCUAUUCAUUUCUUAAUUAACAAUUUUAGUGAGGCAAGUGCAGCCCACUUUGGGGUCCCUUGGUGCUGUGAUCAAGGCUAUGCUAAUUUCAUAAUGGAAUUAGACUCAAUGCUUAUAGCCAUAUGAUUAAAGGAACAUAUAGAAUUCCUUGGAAUCUGAACCCCAUAAUAGAAGACAUUCAACAAAGAGUACAAGAAAGAGGUAAACAUGUUUCCCAUUGCUACAAGGAAGGAAACUCAGUAGCAGACGUGCUAGCAAAAUAUGCCACUUCCCAUAAUCAAGAAGUUGUUUUUAAAAAUGAAGAUCAGCUACCAAAGGAAGUAAAAGGGGCUUACAUAAUGGAAAAGAUGGACAUGCCAACUUUCAGAAUAAAGGUCACCAAACACUCAAGUUGGCAUUUUGACCCACCUUGAAUAGGUUACAUGCUUGAUUCAGCUUGUUAAAAAACUCUGUUGCAUGCAGACUAAAAAGUAUUAAGCUUUUUUUAGCAAGAUCUCUUUAAAAAGGCUAGGUAGUUUAGAUCCUAGAAAUAGAAUCUAAAUUCUCUAUUAGAUUGUAGAAGUAUUUUGUGGUUGCUACAAAUAGAGGCAAGGCACUCCACCCUCCUCUUUGUUGUACAUUUUUGGAUAUUAAAUAAACGAGGUAGGGGUCUACGCCUAGCCCCCACCACUACAGGGAAUACCUGUGUGGAUGGCUUAUUAAAAAAAAAGUUAUCACAUUGAAAAACUAUUUUACAAAUUUCACAAUGGCAUGGCCAAACGUCCACUAACACAACUUAUACAGUAUUAUUCUUAUGCACUCUAACAAAUGACUCAAAUAGAGUUUGAAGAGGGAACAUGUACACCAUUUAGAAUAAGACAAGCAAAGAUUGAAGAAACCCAUUAAGUGCAUUUGGAUUUAAUGAAAUUAAGCCAAUUUACAAGUCAAUAUGAAAAGAAACCUGCUACCUUAUGUGAUUUCGUCCACUUUAUUCUAGCCUUGGUGGAUAGAUUUACCUGAUAUUGCUUGUGGGAGGUAUCAGGUAUCUUAUGGAGCCCAGACACCACGGUUUAAAAAAAAUGCUAUAUUUGUUUGGCUCAGAUUAAGAUACAACAAUUCACAGCAUACGCAGGUGUAUGAAUUGCAUACACGUAAGCAGAAAAUUAGACAAACAACAUAUUUUGAAACCCAAAUAGGAUUAUAAGGUUAAUAAAGAAAAAGAUAAGAGGUAAUAGAAUGGAGAAAGAGAAUUGAGGAAGGGGUUUAAGCUUACCAGUGACAACAACUCUUCGAAGAGGGCGGGCAGGAGGAGGGUCGAAUGAGCUGAAACGACGCAAGUGAAAUGGAGCAGGAAUUAAUCCGUACCAUUUUCUUCCCUUCAUUUGCUUCCACCUCAUACUGCUACAUACGCUUAAUUUUAUCUCAUCCAAGAGAGAGACACGCAAAGAACAAUUGAAGACUUAACAGGGUGGUCUCAUUAGCACAUCAAACUAUGGUCUUUUGAUAGGUAUUUGUAAUGCGAAAUGGAGAAAUUGUAUGAAUUUGUGAAAAUGAUGACUAUGGAAGUAAUUCAGAAGAGAAGCAGCAGAAUGAAGAAAAAAGAAAAACAGCAGCAGAUGAAAUACGGGCAAACUGUAGUAAAAAGUAGAAAAUUUUGAAAAAAUUUAAUAUGGAUGAGAGACUGGUAAAACAAAAAUUGAGUGCAGCACCAUUAAUUUUUUUGACACGUGAUAUGUGGAUCCAUUAUCUAUUUAA